CAGUCGCCACGGUAACACGUAGGGUGCGAGCGUUAAUCGGAAUUACUGGGCGUAAAGCGUGCGCAGGCGGUUUUGUAAGACAGGCGUGAAAUCCCCGGGCUCAACCUGGGAAUGGCGCUUGUGACUGCAAAGCUAGAGUGCGGCAGAGGGGGAUGGAAUUCCGCGUGUAGCAGUGAAAUGCGUGGAUAUGCGGAGGAACACCGAUGGCGAAGGCAAUCCCCUGGGCCUGCACUGACGCUCAUGCACGAAAGCGUGGGGAGCAAACAGGAUUAGAUACCCCUGUAGUCCCUGUCUCUUAUAC
Molecule: ribosomal RNA, 301 nt
Filed under: uncultured bacterium
Lineage: Bacteria
Description: partial 16S ribosomal RNA
Rfam family: Bacterial small subunit ribosomal RNA
Source: RNAcentral